Molecule: ribosomal RNA, 501 nt
Filed under: Triticum aestivum (bread wheat)
Lineage: Eukaryota; Viridiplantae; Streptophyta; Magnoliopsida; Poales; Poaceae
Description: partial small subunit ribosomal RNA
Source: RNAcentral
AUGUUAGACAACAAUUUAUCCAUACUUUGCUGGAACGUGCGUGGACUUAACUGUCCAGACCGACGCGCUGCUGUUCACGAAACCAUUGCUACAUCCUCCUGUAAUCUGGUUUGCAUCCAAGAAUCAAAGUUGCAGACCAUUGAUCCGUCCAUCGCUUCUUAUCUAGGCGGUCAAUGCCUCAAAAGCUUUGCUCAUAGACCGGCUGAUGGCACUAAAGGUGGCAUCCUGUUAUUAUGGGACAAUGAAGUUGUUACCGUCACCAAUGUACAAACUGGGGCGUACUUCCUCUCCGCGACUGUGAAUCUCAACAACUCCACUGAUAACAAAACUUUCAAGCUAACUACAGUCUAUGGCCCCACUCGCAGCAACCAUAAGGAGGCUUUCUUCCAGGAACUCACCUCGCAAAAGCCAGCCUCGGGGACCAAAUGGCUGGUCAACGGAGACUUUAAUCAAAUAUAUCGGGCUAGAGACAAGAAUCGUGUGAUGGGGUCAUGUACCUAA